Molecule: long non-coding RNA, 1871 nt
Organism: Alligator mississippiensis (American alligator)
Lineage: Eukaryota; Metazoa; Chordata; Crocodylia; Alligatoridae
Exons: 3
Source: RefSeq, a predicted model, not a curated record
GAUCUGUUGAGGUCCCUUCCCACCCUAGCAUCUGUGAAUCUGUGAAUCCGUGCUUAAAGUAUACCAUUUUGUCAGCCUUCAGACCUAGGAGACUUCACAUUUUGUCAUGAGAGCACGCUACCAACAUCCAAGGUGGUUAGCACGUGGGCACUGCUUUAUAGUUAUUUUUUUUAAUGUUUGCAUGAACUGAUCUCCCCAAGCUCACAAAAUGACUUUUUAGUCUUCUACUUCACCUCCCUUUCCCAAACAAGGCCACGGAGCCACUAUAACAAAUGUAUCUUGUGUUUCACUCUUAGUGACAAAAGGGAUUUAUCUAAUCUUCUUAUGCCACUGCUUCUGUCCCUGGAGUAGCACACCAAGAGAGCAUCGAAUCACCAACUAUGGGACUGGAAGAGACGUCGGGGCCGUCUAGUCACCCCCUGCUCAAGGCAGGAGCACGCCCUACAAACCCGUCCAGCCAAGGAUCAACUCUGCUCUUAUGCAUUGGCAAGCAUGGAGAUUGCACAACUCUCCGGGUAGCCCAUUUCCGUGUUCCAAAAAACCUUAAAAAAAUCACCCUCAUAUAGAGCGAAAGGUCUUAUAUCGAACCAAAAUAUCCCCUGCUGCAAUUCUUCAUUUACUCUGAGUCUGUUGCUGUGGCUGAAGAAAACAGGACACGUCUCCAUCCUGUCCAUUGCCACCUCUCAGGGAUUUGAAGACAUCGAGCUCUCGAGGACUAAUCUCACAACACAGUCGUUCAACCAAGAUACGUCCAUCUUGCAGUCCGUUCAUCUCAAGCGAAAGAGAUAGCGCCAUUAUCGUUAAGGAAGCAGGCAGGAAAGGUAAAAUGAGGAUGGCAGAGAAGGAGCAUUACCUCAAGGCGCAGUAAGCACAUGAUAUCCAUGAAAGAGCCUCUUCAGCCGCAGCUCUGGUGAAAGGGCUGUUUGACCAAAGGCAGAAGAGGGAGAUCCAGGGCACGGAUCUGGUUAAACAUUUCGCCCUCCAGAAAGGGAAAGGGCUUGAAGGGAAACUGAGGGAAGUUACCCAUGAAAGCGGUGCAAUGCUGAGAGACUGGGAGGAUCCACACCGUCAAAGGGCCGACAGUAGGCAGCAAGUAAUACAGUGUAUUUCCCCCAGCUCAGAGCUGGGAGCCAGCGGGAGCCCCCCGGCCUACAGAAAUAGAGGUCACGUCACCGCAGGGAACACGUGUGAGAUAGACCUGGGCCGUAUGUUCUUGUGCACACACAAUAAAUGGUGUUCGUUAGGAGCUGUUGUUGGAGUCCCUUUCCUCAUCCGCUGUCACAGUGCCCUGGAGGGAAACCCUUGCAGGGUCCAGUCCUGGUUGGAGUCCCUCCUUGUGAGUACCAUCAGGUCGUGUGCAAGCCAAGCCCUGUCUCACACCCGGUGGCUGAUGCAGCGGUGCGGCCGGACACAGCCGAGACGUGCAGGUGGGCAGACCCGGAGAACGUGACACGCAUCACAAUGGCCCCUUCUAGAACCGGCUCGUCGCCGUGCGGCUCUUGGAGACGCACACAGCAGGUCAACUGCUCCCGACCCGACACUGGUUGUUGUCAGGUCACACCCGUGUCCUUGCGAUCACCCUGACCGCAAGGCUACAGAAAACUGGAUAGCUUCUUAUCCCAGGAUACAACCAUGGGAUCCUUUGGAGACACAGGAAGGGAAGGAGAAGAUGCUAUUCAGGCUAACUUUGCCCUGGUUGAACACUGAGGAAAAGGGCUGAGGGCUCAACCCAACAAGAACAGUUUUUCUGUUGGCUUUUUUGGUACUUGAAGUGACCCCUAAAUUCUGCUUCCAGUUUCAUUGGUUGCCGUCCAUUGACUCUGGGGGAUUUACAUAAGCAAAACCUGAUUAUUAAAGUGUUUUGUGUUGGA